GAACGCAGGUGCUGUUGUGGGGGUGGCGAGGCAGGACGCCGAGCCAGCCGUGCCGGGCCAUGGAUGGCCCGUCACGGCGUGCCCCCACAACAGUGUCGGAGUGA
Pseudomonas sp. Lz4W is the source of this 104-nucleotide non-coding RNA. Lineage: Bacteria; Pseudomonadati; Pseudomonadota; Gammaproteobacteria; Pseudomonadales; Pseudomonadaceae. The record is from Rfam.